ACUCGGUGAAGAUCGACUAUAUUCGUACUCGGUGAAGGUAUUUUCCGGUGAAAUUAUAUUUGGUUAAUACAUAUCUAGUUAAACCUUCCAGUUGUAUAAUAAUUGUGUAUAGUUAUGUUGACAAAAUUGUGUGAACAACAUAAACCGACUUAUUGGUUAAAGUGACAUUAUUGAGAUCCUAAAAAAUGAGGAUGUAAUACAUUUUUAGACAUUGUUGAUUUUCAUGGAAUUUCCAACGAUCCCCAAUAUCUGCUAUAGAUAACUGCAUGUUACUUACCUGGAAUGAUAAACUUUAAUAAAGCAAUGAAGAGUCAAGAAAAAGGACAAAAUAUUGUAACUAUAAAACAUAUUCAACGAUAGAGAGC
Molecule: long non-coding RNA, 365 nt
Filed under: Mytilus galloprovincialis (Mediterranean mussel)
Lineage: Eukaryota; Metazoa; Mollusca; Bivalvia; Mytilida; Mytilidae
Source: RNAcentral